GGUUUGCCAUUUUCAACGCUUGAAGCGCGU
This 30-nucleotide small RNA is filed under the name Bombyx mori (domestic silkworm). RNAcentral describes it as "ovarian small RNA-17597". The record is from RNAcentral. Lineage: Eukaryota; Metazoa; Arthropoda; Insecta; Lepidoptera; Bombycidae.